Small nuclear RNA from Cavia porcellus (domestic guinea pig), 107 nucleotides. NCBI's taxonomy places the organism in Eukaryota, Metazoa, Chordata, Mammalia, Rodentia, Caviidae. The record is from Ensembl.
GUGCUCGCUUCAGCAGCACAUAUACUAAAAUUAGAACAAUACAGAGAAGAUUAGCAUGGCCCCUGCGUAAGGUUGACACACAAAUUCGUGAAGCAUUCCAUAUUUUU